Long non-coding RNA from Helianthus annuus (common sunflower), 520 nucleotides. RefSeq lists it as uncharacterized. NCBI's taxonomy places the organism in Eukaryota, Viridiplantae, Streptophyta, Magnoliopsida, Asterales, Asteraceae. The record is from RefSeq and is a predicted model, not a curated record. The transcript has 2 exons.
GUAUAAAAGAAAAUGAUAUGCUAUUAAAGCAUGGACACCUCUAUUUACAGAGGAUACUCUGCCGAAAUUUUCCGAAAAUCCAACACUUAGUAAAUAUAUUCUAGACAAAAGUUUACUAGAACAUUGAAUGAACAAAUAUCCCAACAUGUCAUAUGAUUAAGUUAAAACAUUAACUAUUUUAACAAAUAAUUACCACACGGAACAAUAUAAGAAACGUGACCCAAAAUACUAAACUCUAAGCCAAGGCACGACCCGCUCGUCUAAUAGACAUUAGUACGUUGUAGGUUGUCGUGUAGCGGACAGGGUUUGAGAUUCGAUUCAAGACGCACUACUGAGCUGUUGCUUAGGAUGUUCGUGACACACUAGGGCGGACCUAUGCCUUAGAGACUAAAAUAAAGAUGGAACCGGUUUAAUUAUGUGAUGAACACUUUGUUUCAGUUAAUUUAAGACUAUGUAACCUUUGCUUGAUGAAUAAAACAUAACUUUUAAUUACCAUGGUUGUGAAACAAUAAUUCUGUUA